GGAGAGAUGGCUGAGAGGCUUAAGGCGGCGGUCUUGAAAACCGUUGAGGAUAUUAUCCUCCGUGAGUUCGAAUCUCACUCUCUCCGCCA
Molecule: transfer RNA, 89 nt
Filed under: Coxiellaceae bacterium
Lineage: Bacteria; Pseudomonadati; Pseudomonadota; Gammaproteobacteria; Legionellales; Coxiellaceae
Description: tRNA-Ser
Rfam family: tRNA
About the family: Transfer RNA (tRNA) molecules are approximately 80 nucleotides in length.
Source: RNAcentral